CUUUUUACAUGGAGAACGUGCACUAACUGAGAUCAUUAUCAUUUCCAGUCAGAGAUGCCUGACGCUUGCCUGCCCAACAACAAAGACUUGCCGGGGAACUCGCACUACACACACACACACAAUCUCGCCAAAUCAAUGGGCAUCAUGUCGGAGGAUUCACACGUUCCACCAUGAUCACAGACUAUAGAAAAUAACGAGCCUGGCUCAAUUAACACAAAGGGAGAUCAGUAUUAUCGUAUGUUCAAGUUGCUCUCAUUAAAGCCACAAUCUGGAAUCUGGGAAUCGUGUAAACUUGUUCUAACCUAUUAUGUGGAUGUCAGAGACUGUCUGUCUUUGCGUCUACACUGUAAAACAAAUCUAGUCGUUUGAACUAGUUAUUAUUAAGUAACUGGUUCCACAGCCUUGUUCUUUUUUACUCAACUUUUCGGUUCAAGUGUUACCUGAACAAAAACAAUUAGUUGGCCCAAAACUUAGUUCCAACUUGAGAAAAUGCAGUCAACUUUCUAGUUGUGUGUCUGCUUAAAUUGUCUCAGAUGUUCAUUCAACUCAAAAUCAUUAAUUAAUUAAAUUAAUUAAAAAAGUCAGUGGAACUAGUUACAUACACACAGUGCUUUAACAUACAAUGUUUAACUUCGAUAGUUGACACGCAUACAUGAUAGGCUAGAUUAAGCAGCCACCUAUGGCGGCACUUGAAUUUGGGGCGGCAUUUUGACAAUUGGCUCCCCGGCGCCCCUGAUCAGCUACUGCACUGCCGGCGGCACCCCAGCCACCAGCUCAUAGCAUUUCUGCAAUUUCCACUUCUCCCAAAAUUCACUCCCACUAUGCUUGGUGUGUUUAUAUUGGAUUAUGCAAGUGUGAAACGUUACCAGAAAUGAAUCCGCCAAUUAAAUGAUUGUAUUGUUUUUUUAUGUUGGUGUGACGAACACGAUUAGUGAUUAAGGCAGUAGCCUAACCUAGCCUGUUAACAUGAGCUAGCUACUACUAGUGGUAAUCAUCUUAGCUAAUCAGAUUCAUGAUUCGCCAAUGAGCGCUUGACGCAGCUUCAAGAGCACAGCAGUGUCUUCAGCAUCCUGUAACAACAUCCCCACAUUCAAGGACAUGGAAUCAACGUGUUUGAGCAGGAGACUGGGCAGUGAGGCAAAAGCACUCAACGCACUGGGGUACAUAUCCAGACCCCAAAUGGCCUCCUUGUAUCUCAAUGCCUUUGUUCGCUCUGGGAGAUCUUCUCAGACUCCCGGUGACAGUGGCAAGUGGAGAGCGCACAUUCUCCAAGCUCAAACUCAAACUACCUGCACUCUACGAGUCAAGAGACUCAAACUUUGAGAACAAGGCUACCUAAAUUCUAUCAGCAUACUGAUUGCAUAUCAAAAUGGUGCCGACAGAGAUGGUUGCCUCGCUUCGAGUGCGUUAUUUUCUUUUUUUAUGUAUUAUUUCUUACACUGUUACCCCAGGAAAUCUUAAGUCUUAUUACAUACAGCCAGGAAGAACUAUUGGAUAUACGAGCAACGUCAAAUUUUCAACAUUACGACCAGGAAUACCACUUUCCCGAAGCAGAUCCUCAGUUCGAACCGCCACCCAGGACAAUGGAUCUAAUCCCAGUAGCCAACCCAAAACAACGGCGCCGCAGAAGGGGCAGCCACCGGGCUUCUCCAUGCAUCGCGCCGACAGACAUAAACACCUCUCUGGGAAGAGGAAGGGCGGGGGUGGAUGCUUUAUGAUUAACCACUCAUGGUGUAACCAUAACAACAUACAGGAACUCAAGUCCUUCUGCUCACCCGACCUAGAAUUCCUUACAAUCAAAUGCCGGCCAUUUUACCUACCAAGAGAAUUCUCAUCAGUUAUAGUCACAGCUGUGUACAUUCCCCCUCAAGCAAACACCAAGAGGGCCCUCGAGGAACUUCACUGGACUCUAUGUAAACUGUAAACUAUAUAUCCGGAGGCUGCAUUUACUGUAGCUGGGGGUUUUAACAAAGCAAAUUUGAGAACAAUGCUAUCUAAAUUCUAUCAGUAUAUUUUUGCACGACGCGCAGGGGUAAUACUCUUGACCACUGCUACUCUAACUUCCGCAUACAAAGCCCUCCCCCACCCUCCCUUUGGCAAAUCCGACCACGACGCCAUCUUGCUUGUACCAUCUUAUAGGCAGAAACUCAAACAGAAUGUAUCAGUGACGAGAACCAUUCAACGCUGGUCUGACCAAUCGGAAGCCGUGCUUCAAGAUUGUUUUGAUCACGCGGACUGGAAUAUGUUCCGGUCAGCCUCAGAGCAACAUCGACCUAUACGCUGACUCGGUGAGCGGGUUUAUAAAGUAGUGCAUUAUAGAUGCUGUACCCACUGUGACUAUUAAAACCUACCCUAACCAGAAACAGUGGAUGGUUGGCGGUAUUCGCACAAAAUUGAAAGCGUGAUACACCGCAUUAAACCAUGGAAAGAGGUCUGGAAAUUUGGCUGAAUAUAAACAAGUGUAGUAUAUAAACAAGGCAAUCAAAUGAAAUUCCGGUACAGGGACAAAGUGGAGUCACAAUUCAACGGCUCAGACAAGAGACGUAUGUGGCAGGGUCUACAAGAAAUCACGGACGACAAAAACAAAAACAGCCACGUCACGGACACCGACAAACUAAACACCACCUUGCCCGCUUUGAGGAUAAUACAGUGCCACCAUCGCGGCUCGCUAACAAGGACUGCGCCCCACCACCCCUUCUCUGUGGCCGACGUGAGUAAAACGUUUCAACGCGUUAACCCUUGCAGGGCUACUGGCCCAGACGGCACCCUAGCCGCAUCCUCAGAGCAUGCAGAGACCAGCUGGCUGGUGUGUUUACGGACAUAUUCAAUCGCUCCCUAUCCCAGUCUGUUGUCCCCACAUGCUUCAAGAUGGCCACCAUUGUCCCUGUACCCAAGAAGGCAAAGCUAACUGAACUAAAUGACUACUGCCCCAUAGCACUCACUUGUGUCAUCAUGAAGUGCUUUGAGAGACUAGUCAAGGAUCAUAUCAUCUCCACCUUACCAGCCACCCUAGUCCCACUUCAGUUUGCAUACCGCCCCAAUAGGUCCACAGAUGACGCAAUCGCCAUCACACAGCACACUGCCCUAUCCCAGAAGAAUACAUAUGUAAGAAUGCUGUUCAUUGACUACAGCUCAGCAUUCAACACCAUAGUACCCUCCAAGCUCAUCAUCAGCCCCGCCCUGUGCAAUUGGGUCCUGGACUUUCUGACGGGCCACCCCCAGGUGGUGAAGGUAGGAAACAACAUCUCCACUUCGCUGACCAUCAACACUGGGGCCCCACAAGGGUGCGUGCUCAGUCCUCUCCUGUACUCCCUGUUCACCUACGACUGUGUGGCUAUGCAACGCAAUCAUCAAGUUUGCAGACACAACAGUAGUGGGCUUGAUCACCAACAACGACGAGACAGUCUACAGAGAGGAGGAGUAUGAUGUCAGGAAAACAACCUCUCACUCAACAUCAACAAAACAAAGGAGAUGAUCGUGGAUUUAAGGAAACGGCAGAAGGAGCACCCCCUAUCCACAUCGAAGGGACAGCAGUGGAGGUGGAAGGUUUUAUGUUCCUCGGCGUACACAUCAAAGACAAACUGAAAUGGUCCACCCACACAGACAGUGUGGUGAAGGCGCAACAGCACCUCUUCAACCUCAGGAGGCUGAAAUUUGGCUUGUCACCCAAAACCCUGACAAACUUUACAGAUGCACAAUCGAGAGCACCCUGUCAGGAUUUAUCACAGCCUGGUUGCAACUGCACUGCCCUCAACCGCAAGGCUCUCCAGAGGUAGGUGCGGUCUGCACAACGCAUCACCGGGGACAAACUACCUGCCCUCCAUGACACCUACAGCACCCGAUGUCACAGGAAGGCCAAAAAGAUCAUGAAGGACAACAACCACCCGAGCCACUGCCUGUUCACACCGCUAUCAUCAAGAAGGCGAGGUCAGUACAGGUGCAUCAAAGCUGGGACCUGAGAGAUUGAAAACAACUUCUCUCUCAAGUCCAUCAGACUGCUAAACAGCAAUCACUAACUCAGAGAGGCUGCUGCCUACAUUGAGAAGAUGAUUUGAUUUCAGGACCAUGGACAGCUCCCGAGAGAACAUCGCUGACUGCAAUGCAGCACCAAUGAAGAGGAAAGAGGCCACUUUAGGUGAAGACUAAAUACAUAAAUGCUGAAACUGACAUUGGUCAAUCAAAUUCAAUAUGUCAAUAAACAACAUUUGUUAAGGCUG
Molecule: long non-coding RNA, 4217 nt
Organism: Oncorhynchus nerka (sockeye salmon)
Lineage: Eukaryota; Metazoa; Chordata; Actinopteri; Salmoniformes; Salmonidae
Exons: 2
Source: RefSeq, a predicted model, not a curated record